This 496-nucleotide ribosomal RNA is filed under the name uncultured bacterium. RNAcentral describes it as "partial 16S ribosomal RNA". It matches the Rfam family "Bacterial small subunit ribosomal RNA", at positions 28 to 507 of the family's 1533-position model. The record is from RNAcentral.
GAUGAACGCUGGCGGCGUGCCUAAUACAUGCAAGUCGAGCGAACAGACGAGGAGCUUGCUCCUCUGACGUUAGCGGCGGACGGGUGAGUAACACGUGGAUAACCUACCUAUAAGACUGGGAUAACUUCGGGAAACCGGAGCUAAUACCGGAUAAUAUAUUGAACCGCAUGGUUCAAUAGUGAAAGACGGUUUUGCUGUCACUUAUAGAUGGAUCCGCGCCGCAUUAGCUAGUUGGUAAGGUAACGGCUUACCAAGGCAACGAUGCGUAGCCGACCUGAGAGGGGGAUGGGCCACCCUGGACCUGAGACACGGCCCAGAUUCCGAGGGGAGGAAGCGGAGGGAAUCUUCCGCAAUGGGCGAAAGCCUGACGGAGCAACGCCGCGUGAGUGAUGAAGGUCUUCGGAUCGUAAAACUCUGUUAUUAGGGAAGAACAAAUGUGUAAGUAACUAUGCACGUCUUGACGGUACCUAAUCAGAAAGCCACGGCUAACUACGUG